Pelobates cultripes (western spadefoot toad) is the source of this 213-nucleotide non-coding RNA. The record is from the annotation of a GenBank genome assembly. NCBI's taxonomy places the organism in Eukaryota, Metazoa, Chordata, Amphibia, Anura, Pelobatidae.
UGCUUAUAUCCGCUGGUGGUGUGCAUUUUGAAUAUCGGUAGUAUAGAGAAAAAGUUUGGUGGUUUAUUUGAUAAAGGUUUUUGCAAGAACAUAAAUACCCAUCGUUGUGAGUAAGUGAUUUCUUGCUGUGAAUACAUAAGUAAUAAAAAAAACAACAAAAAAAAACACAUACUGUUUGAACAGAGAGCAUCGCUUUUCACUAAUAAAGUGGAC